CCACCGCCGCCACCUCCUCCGUACCUGUCACCACCGCCGCCUCCGGUAGGGCAGUCCCUAGCCAUGUGGCCAGACUCGCCACAGCUGUAGCACCCGUUACCACCGCCUCCGCUUCUUCCACCGCCACCAUAUCCACCUCCUCCGCCGCCAUAGCCACCACCGCCUCCUCCGUAUCCACCGCCACCUCCGUAGCCGCCGAUUGAAU
This 205-nucleotide long non-coding RNA is filed under the name Linum usitatissimum (flax). RNAcentral's name for it is "long non-coding RNA (LUSI_LNC000059)". The record is from RNAcentral. Lineage: Eukaryota; Viridiplantae; Streptophyta; Magnoliopsida; Malpighiales; Linaceae.